Molecule: ribosomal RNA, 372 nt
Filed under: uncultured organism
Description: bacterial SSU rRNA
Rfam family: Bacterial small subunit ribosomal RNA
Source: RNAcentral
CGUAGGAGGCGAGCGUUAUCCGGAUUCACUGGGCGUAAAGCGCGUGCAGGUGGCGCGGUAAGUUAGGCGUGAAAUCUCCCGGCUCAACUGGGAGAGGUCGUCUAAUACUACCGUGCUUGAGAGCAGAAGAGGAAGAUGGAAUUCCCGGUGUAGUGGUGAAAUGCGUAGAUAUCGGGAGGAACACCAGUGGCGAAGGCGAUCUUCUGGUCUGUUUCUGACACUCAGACGCGACAGCUAGGGUAGUAAACGGGAUUAGAGACCCCGGUAAUCCUAGCCGUAAACGAUGUGAACUUGGCGUUGGUGGGUUAAACUCCAUCAGUGCCGUAGCAAACGCGAUAAGUUCACCGCCUGGGGACUACGGCCGCAAGGUUA